Molecule: transfer RNA, 74 nt
Filed under: Lachnospiraceae bacterium
Lineage: Bacteria; Bacillati; Bacillota; Clostridia; Lachnospirales; Lachnospiraceae
Also listed under: 1 other name
Description: tRNA-His
Rfam family: tRNA
About the family: Transfer RNA (tRNA) molecules are approximately 80 nucleotides in length. Their secondary structure includes four short double-helical elements and three loops (D, anti-codon, and T loops). Further hydrogen bonds mediate the characteristic L-shaped molecular structure. tRNAs have two regions of fundamental functional importance: the anti-codon, which is responsible for specific mRNA codon recognition, and the 3' end, to which the tRNAs corresponding amino acid is attached (by aminoacyl-tRNA synthetases). tRNAs cope with the degeneracy of the genetic code in two manners: having more than one tRNA (with a specific anti-codon) for a particular amino acid; and 'wobble' base-pairing, i.e. permitting non-standard base-pairing at the 3rd anti-codon position.
Source: RNAcentral
GUGGGUAUAGCGCAGCUGGUUAGCGCGUCAGAUUGUGGCUCUGAAGGCCCAGGGUUCGAAUCCCUGUAUCCACC